GCAAGCUGGAGAGAUUAUGUCUCUCAGCUGGUUUUGGAACGCCUCAGUAUCUUCCUUAAAUUGUUGGUAAAUGGGGAGAGAAAUUUCUUGGCUGAUAUAGAGUCACUAGUUAAAUCUGAUUUUUGCCCAGGAUAAAGCUUUAAAAGCUUAUACCGCCUCCAUGCAUUGUGACGUACCUCCAACUAUCUCCAUGGGAGUCCUUGCUUACUUUUACUGACAAUAGUCUGACAUGGGAGGGUCGUCAGGUAAUGCAGCUCACCUGGGCAGGCUUUAAAAGCUGGUUCGCUGGGCAUGAAGUGCAUUUGAUGUUUGUUACUUUAGUUUCAAUAAACUACCUCUUGUGCAGAUUCACUCAUUGUCACUUUGGGCUCUGCAUGAUGUCACUGAGAGUGGAUAUCACUAAUGGAUACAUACAUACCAUCAUCCACUCACUUUCCUCAUGUGAAAUCAAACACAUUGUUCCAGUCUCGCCAUCCAUCCAUCCAUCCAUCCAUCCAUCCUUCCUUCAGCUUAUACAUUUCAGGAUCGUGGGGUGGCUGGAGACUAUUCCAGCUACAAUGGGGGACAGAUCUGUCACGGAACAAGCCUAGACAUCCAACUUUAAAUGUAUUCUGCAGCUAUAUAAACCAGUCACUUCCAAUGUGUAAUACAGCCAUCUCAGACUCAUCCCUCUGACCACGGGAACAGAGGUCCAGCCCACCUGUUUUUGAGAACAAGCCAAUCAGAAGAGAUUUAGCUUAAAGGGAGAGAGCUAAAAUGAGCUUUUAACUUUUAACUAUCAGUGCAUUCUGACAAAAUCCAAGGAUAAAAAUGUGCAGAUGGAAAUGAGCAUAACAGGCUUCAAGUAAUCUUAAACCUUAAAAUAACAACAUGAGAAGAAACCAGAGCUGCUAUCAUACAUAUCAUACAUAGUUGCUGCGUGCUUGCAUUUUGUUUUUGUUUUGUUU
Molecule: long non-coding RNA, 947 nt
Organism: Oreochromis niloticus (Nile tilapia)
Lineage: Eukaryota; Metazoa; Chordata; Actinopteri; Cichliformes; Cichlidae
Exons: 3
Source: RefSeq, a predicted model, not a curated record